ACCCCCAGCCAUGUCACCCUGCAGCCCAAGACCGGUUACUCACUGAAGCUAAGCAGGGCUGAGCCUGGUUAGUACCUGGAUGGGAGACCACUAGGGAACACUAGGUUGCUGUUGGAA
RNAcentral lists this ribosomal RNA (117 nucleotides) under Danio rerio (zebrafish). The record is from RNAcentral. Lineage: Eukaryota; Metazoa; Chordata; Actinopteri; Cypriniformes; Danionidae.